GACGAACGCUGGCGGCGUGCCUAAUACAUGCAAGUAGAACGCUGAAGGAGGAGCUUGCUUCUCUGGAUGAGUUGCGAACGGGUGAGUAACGCGUAGGUAACCUGCCUGGUAGCGGGGGAUAACUAUUGGAAACGAUAGCUAAUACCGCAUAAGAGUAGAUGUUGCAUGACAUUUGCUUAAAAGGUGCAAUUGCAUCACUACCAGAUGGACCUGCGUUGUAUUAGCUAGUUGGUGGGGUAACGGCUCACCAAGGCGACGAUACAUAGCCGACCUGAGAGGGGGAUCGGCCACACUGGGACUGAGACACGGCCCAGACUCCUACGGGAGGCAGCAGUAGGGAAUCUUCGGCAAUGGACGGAAGUCUGACCGAGCAACGCCGCGGGAGUGAAGAAGGUUUUCGGAUCGGAAAGCUCUGUUGUAAGAGAAGAACGAGUGUGAGAGUGGAAAGUUCACACUGUGACGGUAUCUUACCAGAAAGGGACGGCUAACUACGUG
RNAcentral lists this ribosomal RNA (495 nucleotides) under uncultured bacterium. Its description in RNAcentral is "partial 16S ribosomal RNA". It matches the Rfam family "Bacterial small subunit ribosomal RNA", at positions 28 to 507 of the family's 1533-position model. The record is from RNAcentral.